Long non-coding RNA from Triticum urartu, 2647 nucleotides. RefSeq lists it as uncharacterized. The record is from RefSeq and is a predicted model, not a curated record. NCBI's taxonomy places the organism in Eukaryota, Viridiplantae, Streptophyta, Magnoliopsida, Poales, Poaceae.
ACCCCGCCACCUGGAUCGGGAUAGCACCACCGCACCUCUGCCUCCUCCCUUUGCCCUGACCACCUCCGACGCCGCGCUCCACCCCCGACCACCUCUGCCUCCUCCCUUUGCCCUGACCACCUCCGACGCCGCGCUCCACCCCCGACCACCUCCGGAACAACAGCCCCGACCUCUCCCCCCACCCCUGCAACCCCACCCGCCGCCGCCCCCUGCAACUCAGACCACCGCCGCCCCCGGUAACCCCUCGUGACGCCGCCCCCAUCAACCUCGCCCGCCGCCACCUCGGCAACCCCUCAUGCCGCCGCCCCCUAUACCUGAAGCCAGAUGCGGCUGCGGCCAUCGUCAGGCAGGGAGACGGCAACUGCCACUCCGGCCUUCUCCCACGCAGCGGCUGCAGCACAUAGCUGCCCCCUUCAUGAAAUUGACAUGCAUCCCUGCCUCCUCCCUGGAUCCUUGCUGCAGCUUUCGGCCACCUUCAAGUUCUGACGGCCGUUCGAGCUCGCCGGCGUGGAGUACAUGAGUCACCGAGCAUUGAAUUUUUGUUGUUGUUUGAAAACUGAUUAUGAUGCUGGCAUGCCUCUUCAUUUUUCCCUGCUCAAUACAUUCCUGACGCCCUGGCCGCUGCUUCCCCUAGGGCCUCUGUGUCGCUGCCAAGACGUAUCUGUGCGCCACCGUGACUCGCCCCACUGCGCACCAAGCUCUUCUUCAUCACUACCCCCUCCAUCUUCAGUUUGGUUCUGUAUCUGCAGCUCAACUUCCUUCUAAAACUUGUUUGUUCCUUCUGGAACUUGUUUAGACCGUAUCUUACAGCAUGCUGCACUUCCUAACGUUCAUGUGACUGCUACUAGAACACUACUCUAGUUUUGUUCGCAUCUUCUUAGCAUAAUAAUUAGUAUGGUAGUUCAAGUUCUCUGGAAUUUGUUUCUUCUAUUUUUAGUAUAGAUUCUUCCUUGUGUGUAGUUCAAGUUCUUUGGGAUUUUUGUUUUGAAGACAUGGGAGAAUAAUCCUGAGUGGAAAGGUCAUAUGAAUUUGGGGCAUUUAUCUGAGUGGGGAGCACAAAAAAACUUCUGGCUGACCCAGGGUCGUGGAUGCUGAAAACAUUUACAGACUUGGGUGACGGAAAAAGGUGGCUCCUCCUAUGAAUUAUUGAUUCCACACUUUUGUUUGUACUUACCAAAAAUGCAUAUGCAGUACGAUGCUCUGCAGAAUUUUCAUCAAUUAUGCUGCCUAUAUUGAAAAAUGGUUAAAUAAAAGAUUUGUGACUACAUUCAGGGAGUUUUCUCUCCCUUGUUUCUCAUUUCUUUGCGUCUUCAUACCUGGUUAGAUAAUUUUCGAGACAGACUGUUGUAUGAAGCUUAUGAUCUCAGUAUACACUGCAUCCUUUAAAAUACUUGAACUUGAUAAUUCAUUGGCUUACUAAUCGAUCGAGGAGAUACUUUUAUACCAAACAUACUGCUACAUGAAUCUUAUUAUCUAGGUAUGAAUAAGUUUAAAUCAUGUGCUAAAAAAGAAUGUGCAUGAAGCUCCAAUGCACCCAGAUAAGUUUAGAUGUAUAUAUAACAUUGCAUGUAUUUCCUACAGUUGGUAUAGUUUCCUUGGUUUCUUUGAUUGGUCCGGUACAGUUUCCAUCAUUGGAUGAAUAUACCCGUUUGGAGUUGGUACAGUUUCGAACAAGAUCCACUCUUGUUCUCCUUUUUUUGUCUAUAUUCUCAGCUGUAGCAGAGAUUCCAAAUAAAAAACAUGGCCUUUAUAUAUUCAUGCAUAUUCAGACUCACUCAUCUCACUCGUUCCAUUCAUUCGUUAGGAGGGGACAUGCUUGUCUGUUUGAAUCUACAGUGCAGCAGAAAGUCGCAGCUCCUCUUUGAAACCAACUCAAGAACAUCGAUCUGAAAGCAUACGAUGCUUUAUGCUACUACCACCGACCGAUGCCCACUGCACAACGCGCUGAUGAACCCCUACACGUAUUUUGCCAUCUCAAAAAAUAUAUGCAUAGGAUGCUCUGUUUGUCUUGUACUACUAUGCUAAAAAUUUGCUUUAACUUUUUUUGUGAAGGUCAAAAUAUUGUGUUCGAGAAGGUCAAGUGUGUUAAGUGUAUCUCAGCAAGUUCAAAUAAUUUAAAUAUGCAAAAUGUUGUGUUCUAGAAGGUCAAGUGUGUUAUGUGCAUCACCUUGCCCCCAUUGAAUCUUCUGCAUUUCUUGUGUAUUCUUCAGAAGUUCAAGUCAUCGUAAGUUUCCUCGAUUGAGCUACUCUUAUGAAAAAGUUCAACACAGAGGCAGGUCUAUGUGUGCAGACCAGGGAGGAUGACGAACCAUGCCUGGUGCCGCUACCCUCGUGAAUGGAGGAAGAAGGUCACCACAGAGGCAGGGAGAAGGUCACAUAAGGUGCACGAAGAUUGUUAGAGUUCAGGAACAAGGGGUGUGUGAUCUUUGUGCUGUUUUUGGGGUGCAAAUUAACAUGGGUAUGCAAUCUCACGUCCUUUGUAUUCUUUGAGAUGGCCUCCCUUAGCCUCAAAACCAUAUUGCAUAUAAAUAUGAUAGUCCCAAUGCUAUGGUCACGUGUAAAGAAAAUUAGAUAUGCGACUACCGAUUUUUUCUUCAGGUGGUCUUCAUCAUCGUUCUAUAAUUCAGAUGUUCCUUGGUUGAAUGUA